This is a long non-coding RNA of Empidonax traillii (willow flycatcher), 456 nucleotides long. RefSeq lists it as uncharacterized. The record is from RefSeq and is a predicted model, not a curated record. The transcript is spliced from 3 exons. Lineage: Eukaryota; Metazoa; Chordata; Aves; Passeriformes; Tyrannidae.
ACAGAAUUUGUGUGUCAUGUCAGACUGGGCUUCAACCCAAACUAUCGACUAAACACAACAUUUGUUGCACAGUGUUUGUACAUCAUACAUCCUUACUCCCAAAUAUUUAUAGAACAGAUCUAUGUAGUAGAAGGCUAUAAGUUUUUAACACAAUUAGUUUUCAGUUGCUCCAUUUAAUAUCCACCCAUUCACUCACAGGUAAUUACUAUAGACAUUCCCUAGAACACCUAAGAAGGUAAGGAUAAGAACUUCUCUAAGACACCUGUAACUCUGAGAAAGUUUCAGGAAUUUUUGAAGAUUAGAAAAGCUCUUUCAAGCACCCCAAAAAGAGGUGAGAUAGUUACUCUAUUUUUUACUUUCUGCUUGACUAAUCUGAAAGCUGUAUUGAAAACCAAAUCCUGUUCAUUCUCCAAUGGCUAUAAAAGACCGAGGACCACAAAAAUCUCCGUGUUUAUU